AUUGAACGCUGGCGGCAGGCCUAACACAUGCAAGUCGAGCGGAUGAAGGGAGCUUGCUCCUGGAUUCAGCGGCGGACGGGUGAGUAAUGCCUAGGAAUCUGCCUGGUAGUGGGGGAUAACGUCCGGAAACGGGCGCUAAUACCGCAUACGUCCUGAGGGUGAAAGUGGGGGAUCUUCGGACCUCACGCUAUCAGAUGAGCCUAGGUCGGAUUAGCUAGUUGGUGGGGUAAAGGCCUACCAAGGCGACGAUCCGUAACUGGUCUGAGAGGAUGAUCAGUCACACUGGAACUGAGACACGGUCCAGACUCCUACGGGAGGCAGCAGUGGGGAAUAUUGGACAAUGGGGGAAAGCAUGAUCCAGCCAUGCCGCGUGUGUGAAGAAGGUCUUCGGAUUGUAAAGCACUUUAAGUUGGGAGGAAGGGCAGUAAGUUAAUACCUUGCUGUGUUGACGGUACCAACAGAAUAAGCACCGGCUAACUUCGUG
This 484-nucleotide ribosomal RNA is filed under the name uncultured bacterium. RNAcentral's name for it is "partial 16S ribosomal RNA". It matches the Rfam family "Bacterial small subunit ribosomal RNA", at positions 30 to 507 of the family's 1533-position model. The record is from RNAcentral.